UACGUAGGGUGCAAGCGUUGUCCGGAUUUAUUGGGCGUAAAGAGCUCGUAGGUGGCACUGUAGGUCAGAAGUAAAAACGCAAGGCUCAACCUUGCGUCGCUUUUGAAACCGCAGAGCUUGAGUAUGGCAGGGGAGAAGGGAAUUCCACGUGUAGCGGUGAAAUGCGCAGAUAUGUGGAGGAACACCAGUGGCGAAGGCGCUUCUCUGGGCCAUUACUGACACUGAGGAGCGAAAGCGUGGGGAGCGAACAGG
This 252-nucleotide ribosomal RNA is filed under the name uncultured bacterium. RNAcentral's name for it is "partial 16S ribosomal RNA". It matches the Rfam family "Bacterial small subunit ribosomal RNA", at positions 524 to 776 of the family's 1533-position model. The record is from RNAcentral.